UGCCGACAUCUCAGUGUGCGAAUUUGUAUCAGCAGAUGACCAAGCAUUAUCAGCAGAUAGAGAAUUAGCAGCGACAGCCGAAGAAGCAGGUGAGCGAGCAUCAACAGAGAGAGCAUCAGUGGAAACUGCAGUAGCAGUUGGCGCCGAAAAGUCAGCUGCCUGUGUGUAUCAGCGGAUGACCAAGCGACAUUCGAAGAACAAGCAGCACGAGAAGUAUGCGACGAGAGAAAAAGAGCGCGAUUAGCUGCAAUAAUUUCUUUUACAGCUGCGUUAUCACUGCCAAACUUCUCAACAGCAACACCAAUAGAGGAGCGAAGGUCUUUAACCUCUGCCAUGAGUAAGGCAAUCGUAUCAUCUUUCUCAAGCAGAUUGCGCUGCAUGGAAAGAAGAUCUGAGUGAAUGUUUUCAGUUUUUAACAAUAAAUUAUUGUUAUCUUCCCGUAAAGCACUGAUCAGAUUAUUCACGCGGGCAUUCUCAUUUCGAAGAGCGACAACCACAUUGUAUAGAGAUCCCAAUGUAACUUGUUGCUUAUUGAGUUAGAAGAGUUCGAAGAGAUAGAUUUGGUGAUAUUAGAAGUUUUUGAAUUUUCAUCCACGACAACGGGCGGAGGAGGCGAACGGAGGGAAUCACGACGAGCUUCAGAAGAGCCUUUACAAAUGAAGCUCUUGUCUGAGCUGAACAAAAAUUCUGCAUCUGCCGAAAACACAAGAGUCACUGUCUCAAUCAAUAUCGUGUUUUCAUCAUUGCAAAAAAGCAAAUACAUAAAAGAGUCACUGUCACAAUAGUUAAGCUGAUAUUAUGAUUAAAAUCGAAGAGCGAAGAAAAACACGUCCGCACAGCACGAAACGUUUGAUUAAAUUCACAAGGUAUACCACCAGCAUGAUGGAAAAUAAGUUUACCAAAAAUGGAUCCGCUACACUCAGAAAAGAAACACUUUAAAGUCACUUUAAAUCCAGUACAAGGAACUUUAAAAUUAUGAAAACCAGCCGUAUUGAAAAAUAUUUAAUCUUAAAGUUAACACUUUAAAAUGUAAAUUAUU
This is a long non-coding RNA of Rhagoletis zephyria (snowberry fruit fly), 1039 nucleotides long. RefSeq lists it as uncharacterized. Lineage: Eukaryota; Metazoa; Arthropoda; Insecta; Diptera; Tephritidae. The record is from RefSeq and is a predicted model, not a curated record.